Long non-coding RNA from Tupaia belangeri chinensis (Chinese tree shrew), 503 nucleotides. RefSeq lists it as uncharacterized. Lineage: Eukaryota; Metazoa; Chordata; Mammalia; Scandentia; Tupaiidae. The transcript is spliced from 3 exons. The record is from RefSeq and is a predicted model, not a curated record.
CCUGGGAAACCGAAACAACGCAAGCAUGCCUGGAAAUGAUAGGUGAGCCCAAACAGCUGCUCAGCAAAAGGGCACCAGAAUCAGGAUGGUUUGGGCACAGGACGGAGUCAUUCCAGAACCACUGGGCCACCUCGUUGCUUCGAUAAAGGCUGUUUGUAAGUGCAUGUGCCCUGUGGUGAAACCUUAAAAAGAAAAGUUUGAAGAACUUAGAAAACAAAAAGUAUGCACUGAACUGCCUGUACCCUCUCAGAUUCUGCAGCCUCUCUCAGAAUCCCUGCCCUCGGAAGCCAGGCACAAUAUCGGGAGGAAGCCAGGCCAUGCUGAGAAGCCACAUGAUAGUGUUCUAGCCAACAGACCCACUGAAGGUCCCAAUUGGAGCCAGCAUCAACCCUCAGAUAUGUGAGCAAAUGGUGUCCAGAUGAAUCCAUCUCAGCUGGGAUCAAGUGGAGCAAAGACAAGCUAAACCUACACAAUCUGGCCAGCUGGCAAAUUCUUGAUCAAAU